CUUACUGUUUCGUAGG
RNAcentral lists this ribosomal RNA (16 nucleotides) under Myelochroa aurulenta. Its description in RNAcentral is "partial 18S ribosomal RNA". The record is from RNAcentral. Lineage: Eukaryota; Fungi; Ascomycota; Lecanoromycetes; Lecanorales; Parmeliaceae.